Molecule: small RNA, 67 nt
Filed under: Kurthia zopfii
Lineage: Bacteria; Bacillati; Bacillota; Bacilli; Caryophanales; Caryophanaceae
Description: Bacillaceae-1 RNA
Rfam family: Bacillaceae-1 RNA
Source: RNAcentral
AUAAAAGGAAGGUGAGCCAAGUUCGCAACGUCCUGUUGCAAGGCUCACCCAACUUGCGUCCAGCAAG